Molecule: long non-coding RNA, 2580 nt
Filed under: Homo sapiens (human)
Lineage: Eukaryota; Metazoa; Chordata; Mammalia; Primates; Hominidae
Description: non-protein coding lnc-COL4A3-2:1
Source: RNAcentral
CAGGCACCUGCCACCAUGCCCGGCUAAUUUUUGUACUUUUAAAGUAGACAUGGGGUUUUACCGUAUUAGCCAGAAUGGUCUCAAACUCCUGACCUUGUAAUCUGCCCACCUUGGCCUCCCUAAGUGCUGGGAUUACAGGCAUGAGCCACCGUGCCCGGCCACAUUUAUGUUUUAGUAAACUGUCAAGCUGUUUUCCAAAGUGCUGGUUCUAUUUUACAUUCUCUCCACCAGUGUUUGAGAGUUCGAGGUCCUCCCUAUCCUCCCCAACACUUGCUAUGGUCAGUCUUUUUAACUUAAGCCAAUCAAGUCGAUGGUAGUGCCAUCUCAUUGUGAUUUUCAUGUAUGUUUCCCUAAUGAAUAAUUAUGUUGAACAUCUUUUCUUGUGUUGAUAAGUCUGUUACUUUGGCAUCACUUCACAUCCAGCUUACUCUGUGCAUAAGAGAAUUUCACUCUUUUAACUGAUUGCAUUGGAAUGCUGACCAACAUGUCAUUAGGAACAACUGUGGAUUUUCUGUUACUUUAUAUUUAACUGGGCAUGUUUGUGAAAGGAUCCAGAACAUCCUCCAACUUAAUUUUCUUUGUAUGUGUUAGGUUAUUUCGAUGCUCUAAAAUUUUGACCAAAUUGAUUUUUAAGGUGUGGCCUGAUUUCAAGGCAAAAUUAGGGGUUAUCAACUUAUUUUAUUAGAUGUCUAAUUCUGUAAAUGAAUAUAUAUACAGAAGUGGAUUUCCACUUGAAAUAAGCUGUAAUAUUGACAUCUCGCUAUAUUCAGAAAUAAGAUGUUUGAGUUGGGAGGGACCUUAGCAGUCACUCUCUUCAGCCAUUCCCUUCAUGCCCCCUGCAGCACUCAUAAGGGGGUUCAUCUUUCCACUGUCAGAGAUUCGAGUAUCUGGAAGGACCUUGUACAAUAAGCAUACAACAAAAAAAUUCUCCUUUUGUAGAUGGUUGCUAACUGACCUUCAUUUGAAAUUGUUUUAUGGUAGUUAUUUGAUGGGAGUUAUCAGGUGAGAUUUAGCCAUCCAGAGCAAGCACUGCCUAUUAAGAAUUUCAUUGCUGUGUUUUUAAAUAUAUGUAAAGCGUAAAAAGGGGUGGGGGAGUAGGCAGAAAGAGCCUAGAAUCUGUAUUCCCCUCAGUCUGUGAUGAAGGAAGCCCUUUGCAAGCCUUGCUUUCACAACCUCAACAUGGCAUGGGCUUUGCUGUCAGUCAGGUCUGAGUUGGAAUCCCAGCUCUGCCUCUCCUUCUCCAUGAACGGGGUCAUGAGGGAUUAUGGGUAUUUUGUGGGUAGGGAGGUAUAUUAUACCCUCCUCGUGGGGCAGCUGGGAUGCCUACCUGAGAUAGGAGAUGGAGGGCACUGGCACCAGGAAAGCACUGGGUCUGUUUCCUUUUCUUACCUCUUUCUCUUUCUCCUCUUCCACAUGUUUUCUCUCAUCACUUAGGUCACUUAUAGAAAUCGUUCUUUUUACUUCUAUUUCAAUCAAUUUUGGAAAUUUCUCCAAAAAGAUAAUAAUGGUAAUGAAUACUUAAGCAGUAACAUUUAGCAAGUCCCUUUUAUGUACCAGGAAUAUCAAGUACAUUUCAUGCAUUUUUUUUUCAUUUACUUUUCACAAGAACUCAUGAAGUAAGCUGCAAUUAAGGCAGAGAGGAAACGGAAUGAGUGAUGGAGUCAAGGUGUGAACCAAGCCCUAACUGACCCCAGAGCUCUUAAUCACUCUGUAUAUUGCCCCUAUAUCUAAUUUUAGGAAUGCUCAGUUGUCUGUGUUUCCACCCCCAUCCAGAUGAUGAUAAUAUGAAAACAGUAACAGCUGGUGCAUACCUCGCACUGAGCACUGGUCUGCCUGCUUUCCACAUAUUAACUCAUAUAAGGCUCACUGUAACCUGUCACAGGUUCUAUUGCUGUCUCCAUUUUUGUGAUCCCCAUUUUUUAGGUGAGGAAAUGAAGGUGCAGAGACGCUAAGUAACUUGCCCACUUACUCAGGUUCACAUAGAGUUACAAUUGAUGUUCAGUCUGUCGUUCCUAAUGCCUCCGGUGUCUUUCCCCUAUCACUUCAUCAUUUCUUAAAAUUCAUUUUAAGCCCAUUUCAGACCAAUCAGAGAAGAGAUGGGAACUCCCUCCUGCUUAGCUUAGACAUCCGAGCUACUCUUUCCAGUAACCUGUAGAAUUCUUUCCUUAUCCUUGCUGCAGUCUUUCUAAAGUGGUGAUAUAUUGGACACUUCAUCCAAAGGCUGAACUGAGACUAAUGCCUAAGCAAGAAAGAAAAAAUAGCAAAUUCAUUAACUAGGAAUCUAUUUACAGUCAAUUCCCAAGGCUCAUUGUGCAGUCAGUGGUUCUGCAUCAUUUAGAGUUGCUAAUAAAUGAAAGUCUUUGCGUCUUUCCAAGUGCCUUGAUAUUUACAAGUCUCAUAUUUUACCAUAGGAAAUGGCUUCAACAAGCAUAUUCAUGUGUUGACAGUUCUAAUUAAUACAAGUAAUUAGCCCUGACAGAACUGUGAAAAGGAGACCCAUUCAUAAAUUUGCUAAUUAUGUUACUCUGCUCAGAAUUUAAUCGCAGUCUAGUCUUUAAUCAUAUCUGUAUAUGGGCAAAA